AUUGAACGCUGGCGGCAUGCCUUACACAUGCAAGUCGAACGGCAGCAUGGAGAGCUUGCUCUCUGAUGGCGAGUGGCGAACGGGUGAGUAAUGCAUCGGAACGUACCGUGUAAUGGGGGAUAACGUAGCGAAAGUUACGCUAAUACCGCAUACGACCUGAGGGUGAAAGCAGGGGAUCGCAAGACCUUGCGUUAUACGAGCGGCCGAUGUCAGAUUAGCUAGUUGGUGAGGUAAAGGCUCACCAAGGCGACGAUCUGUAGCGGGUCUGAGAGGAUGAUCCGCCACACUGGGACUGAGACACGGCCCAGACUCCUACGGGAGGCAGCAGUGGGGAAUUUUGGACAAUGGGGGCAGCCCUGAUCCAGCCAUGCCGCGUGAGUGAAGAAGGCCUUCGGGUUGUAAAGCUCUUUCGGCCGGGAAGAAAUCGCACAGGCUAAUACUCUGUGUGGGUGACGGUACCGGCAUAAGAAGCACCGGCUAACUACGUGCCAGCAGCCGCCGCAG
This 504-nucleotide ribosomal RNA is filed under the name uncultured bacterium. RNAcentral's name for it is "partial 16S ribosomal RNA". It matches the Rfam family "Bacterial small subunit ribosomal RNA", at positions 30 to 523 of the family's 1533-position model. The record is from RNAcentral.